GCCAGGAUAGCUCAGUUGGUUAGGGCAUGGUCCUGAUAACGCCAAGGUUGCAGGUUCAAUCCCUGUAAAGGACAGCUGCA
Molecule: transfer RNA, 80 nt
Filed under: Podarcis lilfordi (Lilford's wall lizard)
Lineage: Eukaryota; Metazoa; Chordata; Lepidosauria; Squamata; Lacertidae
Description: tRNA.Ile
Rfam family: tRNA (bases 8-66)
About the family: Transfer RNA (tRNA) molecules are approximately 80 nucleotides in length. Their secondary structure includes four short double-helical elements and three loops (D, anti-codon, and T loops).
Source: RNAcentral